This 708-nucleotide long non-coding RNA is filed under the name Sinocyclocheilus grahami. Its description in RNAcentral is "lncRNA (ENSSGRG00000045220.1)". Lineage: Eukaryota; Metazoa; Chordata; Actinopteri; Cypriniformes; Cyprinidae. The record is from RNAcentral.
CGGGGCUUUUCUGGACGUACUAAAAGCGUGCGCGAGCGUUCUUCUCGGUCUUGUACGGAGAAGCACGUGUGACUGGACGGUUUCUACCUGCGCCACUCUACCGUUAUCAGCUUUACUGUAAAAACAACCUCCAGUCAUGGUCAAGCUUGCCAAGGCAGCUAAAAAACUAGCGCCUCUGAAGAAAAAGGCACCUCCACCUCCCAAAGAAGUGGAAGAAGAAUCCAGCGAGGAGGAGAGUGAGGAUGAGGAGGAAGAGGCGCCACCAGCUAAAGCUGUAGCAAAGAAGAAAGCGGCUCCGGCGAAGGCAGUGAAAAAUGGAAAAGCUGCUGCCAAACAGGAGAGUGACGAUGACGACGAUGAAGAAUCUGAAGAGGAAGCUCCUCCCCCAAAGAAGGCAGCACCUGCCAAGAAAGCAGCGCCUGCUGAGGAGUCCGAUGAAGAGGAUGAUGAUGAUGAUGACGAAUCUGAGGAAGAGCUGCCUCCACCACCCAAGAAGGCGACUCCAGCCAAAGCCAUGAAGAAAGCAGCUCCUGCAGCCAAAGCACCUGCUGCGAAGGAGUCUGAGGAGGAUGAUGAUGACGAGGAAGAUGAUGAUGAAGAAGAGGAAAUGGACACGACUCCAGUGCCCAAAAAGGCAGGAAUGGUGAAGGCAAAGGAGGAAUCUGAAGAGGAUGAGGAUGACGACGAAGAGGAUGAUGAUGAUGAUGA